ACGGGAGGCAGCAGUGGGGAAUAUUGCACAAUGGGCGCAAGCCUGAUGCAGCGACGCCGCGUGAGGGAUGACGGCCUUCGGGUUGUAAACCUCUUUCAGCAGGGAAGAAGCGCAAGUGACGGUACCUGCAGAAGAAGCGCCGGCUAACUACGUGCCAGCAGCCGCGGUAAUACGUAGGGCGCAAGCGUUGUCCGGAAUUAUUGGGCGUAAAGAGCUCGUAGGCGGUCUGUCGCGUCUGGUGUGAAAACCCGAGGCUCAACCUCGGGCUUGCAUCGGGUACGGGCAGACUAGAGUGCGGUAGGGGAGACUGGAAUUCCUGGUGUAGCGGUGGAAUGCGCAGAUAUCAGGAGGAACACCGAUGGCGAAGGCAGGUCUCUGGGCCGCAACUGACGCUGAGGAGCGAAAGCAUGGGGAGCGAACAGGAUUAGAUACCCUGGUA
This 439-nucleotide ribosomal RNA is filed under the name uncultured Actinomycetales bacterium. RNAcentral's name for it is "bacterial SSU rRNA". It matches the Rfam family "Bacterial small subunit ribosomal RNA", at positions 341 to 792 of the family's 1533-position model. The record is from RNAcentral. Lineage: Bacteria; Bacillati; Actinomycetota; Actinomycetes; Actinomycetales.